Long non-coding RNA from Lycium barbarum (goji berry), 729 nucleotides. RefSeq lists it as uncharacterized. The record is from RefSeq and is a predicted model, not a curated record. The transcript has 2 exons. Lineage: Eukaryota; Viridiplantae; Streptophyta; Magnoliopsida; Solanales; Solanaceae.
CCACAAAAAGUGACUUCAGUCCCUGUUAGACGCGUGAGGGUGUAUUUUCAAUGCCAUAUCAGCCACCCCAACGGUAAAAUAACGUUAAAAUCAUAUUUUCCUUUCAAUUUUUUACAUACCCUGUCUCUCUUUCUUCCCUAUUUAUUCACCAUUAACCUUUCUCCAUUAAUUUGAAAUUCCUUCAUUUAAAUUCAUCUCUUUGCCAUUAAUUUCAGUCCUUUAGCAUAAAUUUCUUUCAUUUCCAUCAAUUUCUUUCCUUCUCAUUUAUUUUUGAAUCCAUGAAUUAUAACAGGAGGCUUGUUUGUGCAUAUGGGUGUCCUCCAAUAGUGUGAAUUUCAUGGUCGGAUGACAACCCAGGUCGUAGAUUCCUUGGAUGUAGAUACUAUGGGAUAUUCCCUAUUUCAAAUUCCAUGUAGGUUCUUCGAUUGGUAUGACCCGGAAUUUCCAACUCAAGCAAAUAUUGUCAUCUCGGGUCUGUUGAAGAAGAUGAACAAGCAACAACAGCAGUUGAAGUGGAGAAGGACAUUAAAAUUAGUUUUGUGCUUUAGUUUGAUGUUUAAUGUGAUAAUGUAUUUGAUCCUAAUCUGUCGCUGAUUUAAGGCUAUGUUUGUGUUAAUUUUGUUGUUGUUAGACGAUGGAAGGUGUACAGUUUGGCGGAUAUGUGUAUGUUUUUAGCUGUUUAAGUGUAUCUUUUUGCUGAUUAAAGCAAUAUAUGUGUUGUUUCUAAUA